AACGAACGCUGGCGGCAGGCCUAACACAUGCAAGUCGAACGCCGUAGCAAUACGGAGUGGCAGACGGGUGAGUAACGCGUGGGAACAUACCCUUUGGUUCGGAAUAACUCAGGGAAACUUGAGCUAAUACCGGAUACGUCCGAGGUUUUAAUCGGCCUUGGAGAAAGAUUUAUCGCCGGAGGAUUGGCCCGCGUCUGAUUAGCUUGUUGGUGAGGUAAUGGCUCACCAAGGCGACGAUCAGUAGCUGGUCUGAGAGGAUGAUCAGCCACAUUGGGACUGAGACACGGCCAAACUCCUACGGGAGGCAGCAGUGGGGAAUAUUGGACAAUGGGCGAAAGCCUGAUCCAGCCAUGCCGCGUGAGUGAAGAAGGCCUUAGGGUGUAAAGCUCUUUCAGCGGGGAAGAUAAUGACGGUACCCGCAGAAGAAGCCCCGGCUAACUUCGUGCCAGCAGCCGCGGUAAU
This 462-nucleotide ribosomal RNA is filed under the name uncultured bacterium. RNAcentral describes it as "bacterial SSU rRNA". It matches the Rfam family "Bacterial small subunit ribosomal RNA", at positions 29 to 524 of the family's 1533-position model. The record is from RNAcentral.